This 1376-nucleotide ribosomal RNA is filed under the name uncultured bacterium. RNAcentral describes it as "bacterial SSU rRNA". It matches the Rfam family "Bacterial small subunit ribosomal RNA". The record is from RNAcentral.
GAGUUUGAUCAUGGCUCAGGAUGAACGCUGACAGAAUGCUUAACACAUGCAAGUCAGCUUGAAUUUCGGUUUUUAACUUAGAUUUGGGUGGCGGACGGGUGAGUAACGCGUAAAAAACUUGCCUCACAGCUAGGGACAACAUUUAGAAAUGAAUGCUAAUACCGGAGAUUAUGAUUUUAAGGCAUCUUAGAAUUAUGAAAGCUAUAAGCACUGUGAGAGAGCUUUGCGUCCCAUUAGCUAGUUGGAGAGGUAACAGCUCACCAAGGCGAUGAUGGGUAGCCGGCCUGAGAGGGUGAACGGCCACAAGGGGACUGAGACACGGCCCUUACUCCUACGGGAGGCAGCAGUGGGGAAUAUUGGACAAUGGACCGAGAGUCUGAUGCGGGGGUGCGGUGUGCACGAUGAAGUUUUUCGGAAUGUAAAGUGCUUUCAGUUGGGAAGAAACAAAUGACGGUACCAACAGAAGAAGUGACGGCUAAAUACGUGCCAGCAGCCCGCGGUAAUACCUAUGUCACGAGCGUUAUCCGGAUUUAUGGGCGUAAAGCGCGUCUAGGUGGUUAUGUAAGUCUGAUGUGAAAAUGCAGGGCUCACCUCUGUAUUGCGUUGAAACCUGUAUACCUAGAGUACUGGAGAGGUAAGCGGAACUACAAGUGUAGAGGUGAAAUUCGUAGAUAUUUGUAGGAAUGCCGAUGGGGAAGCCAGCUUACUGGACAGAUACUGACGCUAAAGCGCGAAAGCGUGAGUAGCAAACAGGAUUAGAUACCCUGGUAGUCCACGCUGUAAACGAUGAUUACUAGGUGUUGGGGGUCGAACCUCAGCGCCCAAGCAAACGCGAUAAGUAAUCCGCCUGGGGAGUACGUACGCAAGUAUGAAACUCAAAGGAAUUGACGGGGACCCGCACAAGCGGUGGAGCAUGUGGUUUAAUUCGACGCAACGCGAGGAACCUUACCAGCGUUUGACAUCUUAGGAAUGAGCACCCGAUAUUUCAGUGUCCCUUCGGGGAAACCUAAAGACGGGUGCUGCAUGGUUGUCGUCAGCUCGUGCCGUGAGGUGUCGGCUUAAGUGCCAUAACGAGCGCAACCCUUUUCUACGUUUGCCAUCGGGUAAUGCCGGGAACUCCGUGGAUACUGCCGCCGCAAGGCGGAGGAAGGUGGGGAUGACGUCAAAUCAGCACGGCCCUUACGUCCGGGGCUACACACGUCUUACAAUGGUCGGAGCAGCAGGAAGCUACCUGGCGACAGGAUGCUGAUCCCCAAACCCGGCCUCAGUUCGGACUGGAGUCUGCAACCCGACUCCACGAAGCCGGAUUCGCUAGUAAUCGCGCAUCAGCCAUGGCGCGGUGAAUACGUUCCCGGGCCUUGCACACACCGCCCGUC